GAUGAACGCUGGCGGCGUGCCUAAUACAUGCAAGUCGAGCGAACGGACGAGAAGCUUGCUUCUCUGAUGUUAGCGGCGGACGGGUGAGUAACACGUGGAUAACCUACCUAUAAGACUGGGAUAACUUCGGGAAACCGGAGCUAAUACCGGAUAAUAUUUUGAACCGCAUGGUUCAAAAGUGAAAGACGGUCUUGCUGUCACUUAUAGAUGGAUCCGCGCUGCAUUAGCUAGUUGGUAAGGUAACGGCUUACCAAGGCAACGAUGCAUAGCCGACCUGAGAGGGGGAGCGGCCACACUGGAACUGAGACACGGUCCAGACUCCUACGGGAGGCAGCAGUAGGGAAUCUUCCGCAAUGGGCGAAAGCCUGACGGAGCAACGCCGCGUGAGUGAUGAAGGUCUUCGGAUCGUAAAACUCUGUUAUUAGGGAAGAACAUAUGUGUAAGUAACUGUGCACAUCUUGACGGUACCUAAUCAGAAAGCCACGGCUAACUACGUG
Molecule: ribosomal RNA, 497 nt
Filed under: uncultured bacterium
Lineage: Bacteria
Description: partial 16S ribosomal RNA
Rfam family: Bacterial small subunit ribosomal RNA
Source: RNAcentral